Long non-coding RNA from Aphis gossypii (cotton aphid), 1236 nucleotides. RefSeq lists it as uncharacterized. The transcript is spliced from 3 exons. Lineage: Eukaryota; Metazoa; Arthropoda; Insecta; Hemiptera; Aphididae. The record is from RefSeq and is a predicted model, not a curated record.
ACUACUUUGUUGGGCGACGGGUAUCGAUAGUUGUAUUAAAAUAUUUGAAUUCUUCUCUUACCCGGACCAGCUGCAGUCGGCACAAAACACUACGCAGUCUCCCGCUAUAUGCGUGGAGCGCUAGAUUUGCUCAGACUCCCGCUAUAUGCGUCGGGCGCUAGAGUUACUCAGUCUCCAAUGCAAGCCCAUGUUAAACUGUAUUAACGGCUAGCAGUCAGAUCAGUACGUUUAUUGUGUGCAGGCGUUCAUCGGUGUUCAAUUCUCCUCAUUCGUGGUUGACUUGGGCGUUUUUUUCAUUCAGUCACACUCAAGCCUUAGAUUCUACGGAAAUUGUGACCAUGAAUAUAAUUACUCCGUUGGCGAAGGUUAUAGAAACAUGAUAAGUAGUUUCGGGUCUAAUGAUCUGCAAACACUAUUGGGAGCUUUUGGUCAAAAUAAAGAGGCUUAAAAUAUGAAUUAAAAGAUCGAACAAUUGAAUUGUUAAGGACUAAACCAGCUAACAUUAAUUACUCAGGAUAUUAUAUAGCAAAAAUAUAUGAAAUUUAUCGUUCCUUGCAACAUGGUAUACCUAGUAAUGAUAUUGUGAUGCACUGCAGCUUAUUACAAACCCAACAACAACAAAUACAAAUGAUAUAAUCUAUGGGUCAAAUACAGAACCCACCAUAAAGAAUGUACCAACCACCACAAUAUCCUCAACAAUCAAUUCAUAUGGCACGGGCUGGAUUACCUCAAUUUAUGCCCAAAAUGAAAAGAGGCAUAAUACAGAACCCACCACAGAGAAUAGCUGCUGGCAUUUAUCAACAAAUGCGUAUUGUAACACAACCAACACAAUAUGUAAUAGAAAUAAGAACAGCGGCCAGUGGAAAUAAUUCGUACACACCAUCUAUCGAAACUGUAACCCAAAUCAAAUUCAAAAGGCUACCAUUUUAUGAAGUCAUUAAGCCAACUCUCCUAACUGGCACGGACAAGAUGUACAUUACAAAACGUUUCUAGAGGUAUGAAGAAGCAACAUUCAAGGUUAAUGUAAUAAUGUGUCACAUCUCGUAGCCACGAAUCGUAAUUCUUUAUUAUGUAAUAUCAAAUUAAAAAAAGUAGGUAAAUGAUAAUCGUUUUGGUGUACAUUAAAUUUCAAUUAAAUCACUAUUAUGGACAUGUUAAAUUAGAAUUUAUUGAUAGUUAUGGGUAUAAAUAGGAUGUACGUUUAAUUUUGAUAUCCACAGUAUUUAAGUUAUUUAU